UGUGAUCAAUAUUUCAUUUUCUUCAUUUCAUUGUUGCAAAAAAUUAUUUAACUUUUGCAAAAGAAUGUCAUAAAUGUGUAUUUCAUAUGUUGUAAAAGCUUGUUAGGCAUGCCUGGUGACAUCAUAGCAUUCUUAUGUUUAGGGAUUGUUACAUACAAUUUUGUGAAACUUUCCCUGUUUUACAAAACCUAGAUGUUUUACAUGAAAAUUUCACUG
Molecule: unclassified non-coding RNA, 216 nt
Filed under: Hevea brasiliensis (rubber tree)
Lineage: Eukaryota; Viridiplantae; Streptophyta; Magnoliopsida; Malpighiales; Euphorbiaceae
Source: RNAcentral